RNAcentral lists this ribosomal RNA (496 nucleotides) under uncultured bacterium. RNAcentral's name for it is "partial 16S ribosomal RNA". It matches the Rfam family "Bacterial small subunit ribosomal RNA", at positions 29 to 507 of the family's 1533-position model. The record is from RNAcentral.
AUGAACGCUGGCGGCGUGCCUAAUACAUGCCAGUUGAGCGAACGGACGAGAAGCUUGCUUCUCUGAUGUUAGCGGCGGACGGGUGAGUAACCCGUGGAUAACCUACCUAUAAGACUGGGAUAACUUCGGGAAACCGUAGCUAAUCCCGGAUAAUAUUUUGAACCGCAUGGUUCAAAAGUGAAAGACGGUCUUGCUGUCACUUAUAGAUGGAUCCGCGCUGCAUUAGCUAGUUGGUAAGGUAACGGCUUACCAAGGCAACGAUGCAUAGCCGACCUGAGAGGGGGAUCGGCCACACUGGAACUGAGACACGGUCCAGACUCCUACGGGAGGCAGCAGUAGGGAAUCUUCCGCAAUGGGCGAAAGCCUGACGGAGCAACGCCGCGUGAGUGAUGAAGGUCUUCGGAUCGUAAAACUCUGUUAUUAGGGAAGAACAUAUGUGUAAGUAACUGUGCACAUCUUGACGGUACCUAAUCAGAAAGCCACGGCUAACUACGUG